GAACGGAGUUGUUAUUCAGAAGUUCUUCGGGAUGGAAGGAUAAGAACCUUUUGGCGGACGGGUGAGUAACGCGUGGGUAACCUGCCCUUUUGUGGGGAACAACUUCGAGAAAUCGGAGCUAAUACCGCAUAAUAAUAGAGGAUCGCAUGAUUCUUUAAGGAAAGAUGGCCUCUGAAGAUGCUAUCGCAAAAGGAUGGACCCGCGUCUGAUUAGCUAGUUGGAAGGGUAACGGCCUACCAAGGCAACGAUCAGUAGCCGGCCUGAGAGGGUGAACGGCCACAUUGGGACUGAGACACGGCCCAAACUCCUACGGGAGGCAGCAGUGGGGAAUCUUCCGCAAUGGGCGAAAGCCUGACGGAGCAAUGCCGCGUGAGUGAAGAAGGCCUUCGGGUUGUAAAACUCUGUCCUUAUCGAAGAGAGGUAGGUAUGUGAAUAAUGUACCUAUAGGACGGUAGAUAAGGAGGAAGCCCCGGCUAACUACGUGCCAGCAGCCGCGGUAAUACGUAGGGGGCGAGCGUUGUCCGGAAUCACUGGGCGUAAAGGGCGCGUAGGCGGUUUAAUAAGUCAGUGGUGAAAACUGAGGGCUCAACCCUCAGCCUGCCACUGAUACUGUUAGACUUGAGUAUGGAAGAGGAGAAUGGAAUUCCUAGUGUAGCGGUGAAAUGCGUAGAUAUUAGGAGGAACACCAGUGGCGAAGGGGAUUCUCUGGGCCAAGACUGACGCUGAGGCGCGAAAGCGUGGGGA
RNAcentral lists this ribosomal RNA (744 nucleotides) under uncultured bacterium. Its description in RNAcentral is "bacterial SSU rRNA". It matches the Rfam family "Bacterial small subunit ribosomal RNA", at positions 64 to 767 of the family's 1533-position model. The record is from RNAcentral.